CGACCUCAGAUCAGGCA
Molecule: ribosomal RNA, 17 nt
Filed under: Isaurus tuberculatus
Lineage: Eukaryota; Metazoa; Cnidaria; Anthozoa; Zoantharia; Zoanthidae
Also listed under: 2 other names
Description: partial 28S rRNA
Source: RNAcentral